Molecule: ribosomal RNA, 439 nt
Filed under: uncultured bacterium
Lineage: Bacteria
Description: partial 16S ribosomal RNA
Rfam family: Bacterial small subunit ribosomal RNA
Source: RNAcentral
CUACGGGGGGCUGCAGUGAGGAAUAUUGCACAAUGGAGGAAACUCUGAUGCAGCAACGCCGCGUGGAGGAUGACGCAUUUCGGUGUGUAAACUCCUUUUAUAUGUCAAGAAAAUGACGGUAGCAUAUGAAUAAGCUCCGGCUAACUCCGUGCCAGCAGCCGCGGUAAUACGGAGGGAGCAAGCGUUACUCGGAAUCACUGGGCGUAAAGGACGCGUAGGCGGGAUAGAAAGUCAGGUGUGAAAUCCUAUGGCUCAACCAUAGAACUGCACUUGAAACUUCUAACCUAGAGUAUGGGAGGGGAAGAUGGAAUUAGUGGUGUAGGGGUAAAAUCCGCAGAUAUCACUAGGAAUACCAAAAGCGAAGGCGAUCUUCUGGAACAAUACUGACGCUAAGGCGUGAAAGCGUGGGGAGCAAACAGGAUUAGAUACCCUAGUAGUC